Molecule: ribosomal RNA, 511 nt
Filed under: Campylodiscus sp.
Lineage: Eukaryota; Bacillariophyta; Bacillariophyceae; Surirellales; Surirellaceae
Description: eukaryotic LSU rRNA
Rfam family: Eukaryotic large subunit ribosomal RNA
Source: RNAcentral
UUAAUAAGCGGGGGAAGAGAAACUAACUAGGAUUGGCCCAGUAACGGCGAGUGAAGUGCCAAUAGCCCAGCAUGUUAAUUGUCAUUCGUGACAAAUUGUAGUAUGAAUAUAGGUUCGUUCAGCCCACGGAAAAAAUCCCCUGGAAUGGGUUAGCAAAGAGGGUGAAACUCCCGUUGUUCCGCGAGCAUGAGAGCUAGUUAACGAGUCGAGUUGUUUGGGAUUGCAGCUCUAAGUUAGUGGUAAAUUUCAUUAAAGGCUAAAUACUGGUGAGAGACCGAUAGCGUACAAGUACCGUGAGGGAAAGAUGCAAAGCCGCGCGAGAGCGCAGUCAAAGAGUACCUGAAAUUGCUGAAAUAGAAGCAAAGGAAACCAGUGUCCAGCCUUCCUGCACUUCUCUGACUGCUUGCAAUCGGAGCGCUGCAGAAGGCUUUGUUCCUGUUUGUGAGAUGUGCAACAGAAUUUGAAGGUUGUGCGCUUGACCAAUGGGAAUAAAAUGGUUUUCUUUUUCCCG